GCCCUCGUAGCUCAGCGGAUUAGAGCGCUUGCUUGCGGAGUAAGAAGUCGGGAGUUCGAGUCUCUCCGAGGGCGCCA
Molecule: transfer RNA, 77 nt
Filed under: Chloroflexota bacterium
Lineage: Bacteria; Bacillati; Chloroflexota
Description: Chloroflexi bacterium tRNA-Arg
Rfam family: tRNA
About the family: Transfer RNA (tRNA) molecules are approximately 80 nucleotides in length. Their secondary structure includes four short double-helical elements and three loops (D, anti-codon, and T loops).
Source: RNAcentral